AACGGCCGCGUUAGCGUGAGCGUGCUAAGGUAGCGUAAUAAAUAGCCUUUUAAUUGGAGGCCAGUGAAUGGCAAGACUAGGGAAUUUGUACCCGUAUAGAAAAACAACUUUUCAUUCGGGUGAAAAGACCUGAUAAUAAAGGAAGACGAAAAGACCCCGCGGAACUUUACCUUUUCUAUACUAAUGCACAGAAAAACAAAAGGUUUGAUUGGGGCAAUCUCGGAACCACCCAAACUUCCAUUAUAAAAUAAAAAAAUAAAGAAUUAAUAAGGAUCAAAAAGAAGUUACCCCGGGGAUAACAGCGUAAUCCAACUUGAGAGUACAUAUCGAAAGCUGGGUUUGCGACCUCGAUGUUGGCUUAAGGAUAUCCACAUAAGUGCAACC
Molecule: ribosomal RNA, 384 nt
Filed under: Lampsilis teres
Lineage: Eukaryota; Metazoa; Mollusca; Bivalvia; Unionida; Unionidae
Description: partial 16S ribosomal RNA
Rfam family: Bacterial large subunit ribosomal RNA
Source: RNAcentral